RNAcentral lists this signal recognition particle RNA (308 nucleotides) under Sorghum bicolor (sorghum). RNAcentral describes it as "SRP RNA Plant_SRP". It matches the Rfam family "Plant signal recognition particle RNA". Lineage: Eukaryota; Viridiplantae; Streptophyta; Magnoliopsida; Poales; Poaceae. The record is from Rfam by way of RNAcentral.
GCCGAGCUCAGUUGCGUGGGCUUGUAACCCAAGUGGGGGCAUCAAGGUGGUGUGGAUGUUUGGUGCGGAAUCUGGGCCUGGGCUCUUGAUGUGCCUUGGCUGGCCUGCCCGUUCCAAGUUGGUUGUGGCCAGCGGAGACUUGGGCGGAAGCUCUUGGCCUCCCUGGACCUAAAGUGGCAGGAACGGCGUGAGGCUGGUUUCACAGAGCAGCGAUCACUGUCCGCUUCCAACGGUGGAAGGAUAACAGGCCGCUGCAUCAUGGGUCCCGCUUCAGGCCCAGACUCCUACUAUAACAGACCACCAUCUUU